GUCACUCGAAGCCACGCCACCCGCGGCCGAUUCACCCGAAGCCGCGCCACCCGUGGCCGGUCCUCUCGAAGCCGCGCCACCCCCGGCUGAUCCGCCCGAAGCCGCGCCACCCGCGGCCAAUUCGUCGAUGCCCAUGCCGAGCCGCCGCCCAUGACUCUGCUCGUGAUCUCGGCCGAUCCGUCGACGCCCGCGCGCCGUCGUCGACUUUGAUGGCUCGAACCCGAGGAGUUCCCUCUGAUGCCGCGUCGCUCCACCUCGAAGGCCGCAGCCCCGUCGAUGCCGCGCCGCUGCCAUGGCCCUUCACCGCUGCAGAGCGUCGCCGUCACGGCCCUCCUCCGUCGUGGUCUCAGAUCCGCGGCUCCACUGUCAGGUCACAGCCCCAGCGGAGCUCCGUCAUCAACAAAGCUCGCCAGCUGCUCGACGGCGAUCCUGAGAGAGAGAGCGAUGCUCUCCUCUCAAACGGAUUCCGCCCGCCAAGUGCUCAAUGUGCCCGGAGUCCGCCCACCAACCGCUCGACGGCGAACCUGAGAGAGAGAGCGGUGCUCUCCUCUCAAACGGGUUCCGCCCGCCAAGCGCUCGAUGUGCCCGGAGUCCGCCCACCAACCGCUCGACGGCGAACCUGAGAGAGAGAGCGGUGCUCUCCUCUCAAAUGAAGUCAAGUCCGCCAACCGCUCCGACGACGAAUCCGAGAGAGAGAGCGGUGCUCUCCUCUCAAACAAAGUUCGCCCGCUAAUUGCUCGGUGGCGAAUCAUAAAGAGAGCGAUGCUCUCAUUUACCGACCAAUCAUUCGACGAAAUACUUCGUCGUCGACGUGCUAAUCAAACCGCUCGAUGGAAUGCCGAGAUGAACAUCGAUGGUGCUUUUUGCAAAAUAUCACCAAAAAGAGAGAUCACUCUAAAAGAGAGAGAGAGCUUUGACAAAAUCACAUUAGACGCUUCAAAUUAAAUUGAAAUUUAAUUUGUUGUUCAAAUCCAG
RNAcentral lists this long non-coding RNA (975 nucleotides) under Ananas comosus (pineapple). RNAcentral describes it as "long non-coding RNA (ACOM_LNC022614)". Lineage: Eukaryota; Viridiplantae; Streptophyta; Magnoliopsida; Poales; Bromeliaceae. The record is from RNAcentral.